This 390-nucleotide ribosomal RNA is filed under the name Triticum aestivum (bread wheat). RNAcentral's name for it is "partial small subunit ribosomal RNA". Lineage: Eukaryota; Viridiplantae; Streptophyta; Magnoliopsida; Poales; Poaceae. The record is from RNAcentral.
AUGCCAGGAGUAGUAUAUGGUAAGGAUGAAAAAGAAAACAUUAAGCAAAGACUUUGGCUGGUCAAGUCAAGCAAAAUAUUGAUACUCCUACUACUACUAGUAGUACUAGACAACAGUGUGCCUCCAGAGCCAUUCGAGCAUCCACUUAUUACACCAACAACUCACUCUCACUCCACUGCUCCCCGGGCGGCGCUCCCUUGCUCUGCUCUGCUCUCCACUCCCCGGCAACUGCAAGCCCUGUUGCUCCUCAUCUCCGCCUCGCCGGCCGGCAGCGCAGCGCAGCCCCCGCCGCCUCCCCCCACUCUCCCGUCAGCACGAUCCACGGCUCCCGGAUCUGAAGCAGCCGCACCGUGCUGCCGCCGCCCACAGCAACAGGUGGCAGCUAGCUAG